UUGAUCCUACGGGGGGCAGCAGUGAGGAAUAUUGGUCAAUGGACGAGAGCCUGAACCAGCCAAGUAGCGUGAAGGAUGACUGCCCUAUGGGUUGUAAACUUCUUUUAUAGGGGAGUAAAAAGUUCCACGUGUGGGAUAUUGUAUGUACCAUAUGAAUAAGGAUCGGCUAACUCCGUGCCAGCAGCCGCGGUAAUACGGAGGAUCCGAGCGUUAUCCGGAUUUAUUGGGUUUAAAGGGAGCGUAGGUGGAGUGUUAAGUCAGUGGUGAAAGUUUGCGGCUCAACCGUAACA
Molecule: ribosomal RNA, 290 nt
Filed under: uncultured bacterium
Lineage: Bacteria
Description: partial 16S ribosomal RNA
Rfam family: Bacterial small subunit ribosomal RNA
Source: RNAcentral